Molecule: ribosomal RNA, 460 nt
Filed under: uncultured bacterium
Lineage: Bacteria
Description: partial 16S ribosomal RNA
Rfam family: Bacterial small subunit ribosomal RNA
Source: RNAcentral
CCUACGGGUGGCUGCAGUGAGGAAUAUUGGUCAAUGGGCGCGAGCCUGAUCCAGCCAAGUAGCGUGAAGGAUGACUGCCCUACGGGUUGUAAACUUCUUUUAUAAAGGAAUAAAGUGAGGCACGUGUGCCUUUUUGUCUGUACUUUAUUAAUAAGGAUCGGCUAACUACGUGCCAGCAGCCGCGGUAAUACGGAGGAUCCGAGCGUUAUCCGGAUUUGUUGGGUGUAAAGGGAGCGUAGAUGGGUUGGUAAGUCAGUUGUGAAAGUUUGCGGUUCAACCGUACAAUUGCAAUUGAUACUGGCAGUCUGGAGUACAGUUGAGGUAGGCGGAAUUCGUGGUGUAGCGGUGAAAUGCGUAGAUAUCACGAAGAACUCCGAUUGCGAAGGCAGCUUACUAAACUGCCACUGACAUUGAUGCUCGAAAGUGUGGGUAUCAAACAGGAUUAGAUACCCGGGUAGUC